AGAGUUUGAUCAUGGCUCAGGAUGAACGCUAGCUACAGGCUUAACACAUGCAAGUCGAGGGGCAGCAUGAUUUGUGCUUGCACAAAUUGAUGGCGACCGGCGCACGGGUGCGUAACACGUAUCCAAUCUACCCAUGGCUCGGGAAUAGCCUUUCGAAAGAAAGAUUAAUGCCCGAUGGUCUGUGUUUGAGACAUCUCGACCACAGUAAAGAUUUAUCGGCGAUGGAUGAGGAUGCGUCCGAUUAGGUAGUAGGCGGGGCAACGGCCCACCUAGCCUACGAUCGGUAGGGGUUCUGAGAGGAAGGUCCCCCACAUUGGAACUGAGCCAUGAUCAAACUC
Molecule: ribosomal RNA, 338 nt
Filed under: uncultured Paraprevotella sp.
Lineage: Bacteria; Pseudomonadati; Bacteroidota; Bacteroidia; Bacteroidales; Prevotellaceae
Description: bacterial SSU rRNA
Rfam family: Bacterial small subunit ribosomal RNA
Source: RNAcentral